GUGAGGAAUAUUGCGCAAUGGAGGCAACUCUGACGCAGCCAUGCCGCGUGCAGGAAGAAGGCGCUACGCGUUGUAAACUGCUUUUAACCGGGAAGAAACCCCAGGACGUGUCCUGGGUUGACGGUACCGGAGGAAUAAGCACCGGCUAACUUCGUGCCAGCAGCCGCGGUAAUACGAAGGGUGCAAGCGUUAUCCGGAUUCAUUGGGUUUAAAGGGUGCGUAGGCGGAGCGUUAAGUCAGUGGUGAAAUCCUGCAGCUUAACUGUAGACUUGCCAUUGAUACUGGCGCUCUUGAGUGCGCUUGAAGUGGGCGGAAUGUGCCGUGUAGCGGUGAAAUGCUUAGAUAUGCUACGGAACACCGAUUGCGAAGGCAGCUUACUAUUUCGUAAUUGACGCUGAGGCACGAAAGCGUGGGUAGCGAACAGGAUUAGAAACCCGGGUAGUCC
This 445-nucleotide ribosomal RNA is filed under the name uncultured bacterium. Its description in RNAcentral is "partial 16S ribosomal RNA". It matches the Rfam family "Bacterial small subunit ribosomal RNA", at positions 354 to 796 of the family's 1533-position model. The record is from RNAcentral.